Molecule: ribosomal RNA, 1550 nt
Filed under: uncultured prokaryote
Description: partial 16S ribosomal RNA
Rfam family: Bacterial small subunit ribosomal RNA
Source: RNAcentral
AGAGUUUGAUCCUGGCUCAGAAUGAACGCUGGCGGCGUGCCUAACACAUGCAAGUCGCACGAGAACGGUUCCUUCGGGGGCCUAGUAAAGUGGCGGCCGGGUGAGUAACGCGUGGGUAAUCUGCCCUCGAGUGGGGAAUAACCUGGGGAAACCCGGGCUAAUACCGCAUAACAUCCUUGGGACUUCGGUUUCGAGGAUCAAAGGUGGCGCGGUUCGACCGCUACCGCUUGAGGAGGAGCCCGCGUCCCAUUAGCCAGUUGGUGGGGUAACGGCCUACCAAGGCUUCGAUGGGUAGCCGGCCUGAGAGGGUGAUCGGCCACACUGGAACUGAGACACGGUCCAGACUCCUACGGGAGGCAGCAGUGGGGAAUUUUGGGCAAUGGGCGAAAGCCUGACCCAGCGACGCCGCGUGGGUGAUGAAGGCCUUCGGGUCGUAAAACCCUGUCAUGCGGGAAGAAUGGCGCAGACUCUAACAUAGUUUGCGUUUGACGGUACCGCAGGAGGAAGCCCCGGCCAACUCCGUGCCAGCAGCCGCGGUAACACGGAGGGGGCGAGCGUUAUUCGGAAUUAUUGGGCGUAAAGGGCGUGUAGGCGGCUUCGUAUGUCCUCUGUGAAAGCCCUCGGCUCAACCGAGGAAUUGCAGGGGAAACUGCAGAGCUCGAGUCCGGGAGAGGAGAGUGGAAUUCCCAGUGUAGCGGUGAAAUGCGUAGAUAUUGGGAGGAACACCCGUGGCGAAGGCGGCUCUCUGGACCGGUACUGACGCUGAGACGCGAAAGCUAGGGGAGCAAACGGGAUUAGAUACCCCGGUAGUCCUAGCUGUAAACGAUGAGCACUUGGUGUGGCGGGUAUCGACCCCUGCCGUGCCGAAGCUAACGCAUUAAGUGCUCCGCCUGGGGAGUACGGCCGCAAGGCUGAAACUCAAAGGAAUUGACGGGGGCCCGCACAAGCGGUGGAGCAUGUGGUUCAAUUCGACGCAACGCGAAGAACCUUACCUGGGCUUGAACUUCAAGUGACAGCUUCAGAAACGAAGUCUUCCUUCGGGACACUUGGAGAGGUGCUGCAUGGCUGUCGUCAGCUCGUGUCGUGAGAUGUUGGGUUAAGUCCCGCAACGAGCGCAACCCCUGCCACUAGUUGCCAGCGGUUAGGCCGGGAACUCUAGUGGGACCGCCGGUGAUAAACCGGAGGAAGGUGGGGAUGACGUCAAGUCCUCAUGGCCUUUAUGUCCAGGGCUACACACGUGCUACAAUGGCCGGUACAAAGGGCUGCGAAGGCGCGAGCCGGAGCCAAUCCCAUAAAGCCGGUCUCAGUUCGGAUUGCAGUCUGCAACUCGACUGCAUGAAGGUGGAAUCGCUAGUAAUCGCGGAUCAGCACGCCGCGGUGAAUACGUUCCCGGGCCUUGUACACACCGCCCGUCACAUCACGAAAGUCGGCUGUACCCGAAGUCAUUGACCCAACCCGCAAGGGAGGGAGAUGCCGAAGGUAUGGUCGGCGAUUGGGGUGAAGUCGUAACAAGGUAGCUGUAGGAGAACCUGUGGCUGGAUCACCUCCUU